Molecule: ribosomal RNA, 497 nt
Filed under: uncultured bacterium
Lineage: Bacteria
Description: bacterial SSU rRNA
Rfam family: Bacterial small subunit ribosomal RNA
Source: RNAcentral
CUACGUGCCAGCAGCCGCGGUAAUACGUAGGUCCCGAGCGUUAUCCGGAUUUAUUGGGCGUAAAGCGAGCGCAGGCGGUUAGAUAAGUCUGAAGUUAAAGGCUGUGGCUUAACCAUAGUACGCUUUGGAAACUGUUUAACUUGAGUGCAAGAGGGGAGAGUGGAAUUCCAUGUGUAGCGGUGAAAUGCGUAGAUAUAUGGAGGAACACCGGUGGCGAAAGCGGCUCUCUGGCUUGUAACUGACGCUGAGGCUCGAAAGCGUGGGGAGCAAACAGGAUUAGAUACCCUGGUAGUCCACGCUGUAAACGAUGUCGAUUUGGGGGUUGAACUUUAGGUUUGGCGCCCGUAGCUAACGUGAUAAAUCGACCGCCUGGGGAGUACGGCCGCAAGGUUAAAACUCAAAUGAAUUGACGGGGGCCCGCACAAGCGGUGGAGCAUGUGGUUUAAUUCGAUGCAACGCGAAGAACCUUACCUACUCUUGACAUCCAGAGAACAUUC